GUUGAUGAAAGGCGGAAGUUCGGUCACAAUUAAUAUUUAUCGCUUCACGUUGCCAAGCAGCUAUACCUUUUUAGGACAAGUUCUUAAUCGAUUGGGGUGUUUAAACGCAGUUUUCAUUAAUUUCAGGUGUUUUCAAACAGUUUUUAUUAGUUUCAUAUGUUUUGCCACAGUUUUAAGUUACUUUUUGGUUAUGGCAUUUAAAGCGCUUAUAAAGCAGUUAAUUAGAUCAUCCAAUGAUUCACUAUGAACACGACUAUCGCGGAAAAACGAGUGUGAAGUUCUUUGCUAAGAUUCGGAGAGGGGACGCUUUGACCACCGUGUUUCUGGUCGCGCGAUACUUCGGUUUGAACUGUGACUCACGAUGGAGUUGGCCCAAGCAGCUCCUUUACUAUACCUAUGCGGUGACACUCUUCCUUUUCAACUCUUAUCCGAUGUACUUCGAAAUCAAGGAUGCAUACUACCACUUCCUCGAUCGAGACUACCGCACCGUCUUUCAGAUCAUCGGCGUCGUCAUCAAUGCCAUCGGCUACGUUUUCAUCAUUUUCAACUACUACAAGCACAAGAGGGAAUUUUUCGAGGUUCUCGCACUUCUUAGAUUGAGCAUGGAGCAGUCCCUACUCUACGCUCCGGAGAUAGUGCGGAGCGUUCAACCCCUGCGGGACAAAUUCGCGAAGCGUUUCCUUAUCCUGAGCAUCAUCGCGUAUGAGAUCAUGUACGUGAUAUGGUGCAGCCCCCCCGUGGUGACGUUCUUCGCGCGGCUGCCCGAUGUCAACUACUCGACGCUUCCGCUGGCCUACGGUAGGCAGAACUACGGCCUCAACGAGAACGAACCGGUUGAAUUUUGGCUCAUAAUUGUCAUCCAGUUCCUACACGGCACGGCCUGCCUCAGCGGCAUCUGUUUUGGCAACACUCUCACUCCAAUCCUGUGCAUAUUGCUAGGAUGUCAGCUGGAUAUACUGGAAAGAGCACUCAAUCAAGUGGGCUAUAACGUUGAAGCGAAAAGUAAGCGGGCUUUGUUCUUGGCGAAACUGCAUUCGAAAUACGUGUCAUUCAACGGUGGCAAUUGAAGGAGUUCAAAACAGACAUGGCCGAUACCUUGAUCAUUCAAAGCGAUCGCGACUACUUGACGCAGUGCAUCGAACAUCAUCAAACCUGCAUGAGGUGAGGUUACAGUACCUAUAUGAAGAGAGUAUGGCCACUGGGCCCCAUGGAGAGGCUUAGGACCCAAAAAUGGCGGUGCUUUGUUUUGGUUUUUGAGGAUGGGAGAGGGGGUCAUUGCCAACUUUUGACGGUUAUCACCAACCGCACUUGCUGCCAACCUUACUACAUCUAAG
Molecule: long non-coding RNA, 1334 nt
Filed under: Bemisia tabaci
Lineage: Eukaryota; Metazoa; Arthropoda; Insecta; Hemiptera; Aleyrodidae
Description: lncRNA ENSSSA1NGG011027
Source: RNAcentral